AUGGCAAUCAUUCCAGCAAUACCGACAAGCACCCCUUUGAACACAAGCACUACCAACACUCAAGUGGAUGGAAUUGCCGCUGAUACUGAAGUGAAUGAUGAAACUGACGACGAGGCAGAAGGGGGUGAAGAUGGCGGGCAAUCAAAGAUCAUGGUACCUCAGCCACCGUACAUUGGGCAGAGAUUUGAAUCGUUCGAAGAAGCAAAGGAAUACUACCAGACAUAUGCAAAGUUCCAUGGAUUUGCGGUCAACACCGAGUACCAUAGGAAAAUUAAGAAAACUAAUGAGUACAGCAGAGGUGAGAUGAGGUGCCACAAGGCACGGAGGAACAAGAAGGGGAAAGGUGAUGCGCCUGUCGUUCCGGAACGAAAAAGAGGAAUCAUUCUCAAGACAGGAUGCCCUGUCCGGUGUAAGCUUAACGUAGAUGGAACACAGUAUGUGGUCACCGAAUAUUUUGACGAGCACAACCACAAUCUCAUAAAGAAGUUCGACCUGGUCAAAUUUCUGACCGCCCAUAGAGGAUUCACCCCAGUUGAAAGGCAAUUCGUAAAGCUGCUACAUGAUUGUAACGUCGGUCCAUCAAGAAUGGUCCAGAUACUAUCACUCAUCCACAGCAAAAAGGGGAACAUGCCAUACAUACCGGCUGACGUCACAAACCUACAGGCCAAGUACCUUAGAGAGAGCAGGCUGGCUGACAUAGAGGCUACAAUUGCCUACUUCAAUGAGAAAGCAAAAGAAGAUCCAGAUUUCUUCUACAGGAUAAGGUUGGACGAUGAGGACCGUGUCAGGAACAUGUAUUGGAUGCCAUGCGCUCCGUUCAUAGGAAUAAAUAACCACAAUCAGUCGUUGCAGUUCGGCUGCGGGCUCAUUCGGAAUGAAGACACGGAUGGUUACGUCUGGUUGUUCAAGACCUUCUUGGAGUGUAUGGAUGGACUUGCGCCGAUGAACAUAAUAACAGACCAGGAUUUCAGAAUGCGUGCAGGCAUAGAGGAGGCUGAGGAGAUGCUAGGACCGUUCUUUGCUGACCGUCCAGAACUGCACAAGGCAUUCGAGCUGUGCGUGGACCACAACUUGACGGUCGAGGAGUUUGAAAGGAGCUGGAUGGCCAUGGUUGAAACACAUGAAGUCCAAGACAACGAGACGCUUGCUAGCCUGUGGGAGAAGCGAAUGUACUGGGUGCCCGCCUACUUCAUGCAGUGCUUCUUCCCCUUUCUGCAGACUACACAACGCAGCGAGGGGUUCAAUGCUGUUUUGAAGCGAUACGUGAGUCCUAGCAACUCAUUGCUACAGUUUGCCAAGCAAUAUACAGCUUUGCAACAAAAAAUACUGGGAUCUGAGCUACAGCAAGAAGCGAACACUGCACUGAAGCAGCCAAAAUUGCUGACGUAUUUACCGAUGGAGAGGCAAAUGAGCAAGAUAUACACAAACAAGAUAUUUAACAAGUAA
RNAcentral lists this ribosomal RNA (1446 nucleotides) under Triticum aestivum (bread wheat). RNAcentral's name for it is "partial small subunit ribosomal RNA". Lineage: Eukaryota; Viridiplantae; Streptophyta; Magnoliopsida; Poales; Poaceae. The record is from RNAcentral.